UUCAUUCAUCACCUGUUUCUUCAUUCAACAAAACAUUAUUCACUGUUGAGAAAAUGGCUUCAAAGUCUUUUGUUUUGUUGGGUCUCUUUGCACUUAUUUUCGUCGUGUCAGAAGUUGCCACAGCAUCUGCAUUGCAGUCAGGUAUUUCAAAUAUUUCAUACAGUUCAGUCUAAUUAUUUCAUACAGUUCGUUUCGCUUAUUCAACACACCAACUUAUAUGAAUGGUGGAAUUUAAAUAUAAAAUGUACCAGCCCAGAAUGUCUACGAGGCUAUACCACUCGAACUAAAGUAACAUUAAAUAUAUCACCAAAGUUUUCCAUCCUCUCCAACCUUUGAAAGUUGGUUUGAACUAUGGUCAAUUAUUUGGAUUUUCUCAAGUCCAAAAAACAGAAGUAUGAAGCAAAAAAACAUAUACAUAAACAAUUCGUUUUUUAGAUUCAUUUAUUUUAAAAUAUGUUAAUUGUAAAGUCAAAAGAUUUUUUUUUUAAUAUUUUAUAUUAAUAAGAUUUUAUAUAUUUAGUUUCUUUUAUUUUAUUAUAUUAGGUGUAUUUGGUUUUGAUUAUUGAGUGUAUAUGCAUUUUAGAUGUAAUAUAAAAAAAAUAAUAUUAAAUGUUUCGAAGUGUUAAGAAGAAUUAGAAAAAAGCUUGAUUGUAAAAACAAACAAUACAAUUUUAGGUUGUGUUUAUAUAUAGAAGAUAUAGUAAUUAUUAUUUUAAAAUUUAAUGAACAGUUUAUUUACAUUAGGUUUAUGCAAAAAUUAACUUAUUAUAUUAUCUUAAUAUUUGAAGUGGUCCAACUUAAAAUAUAAUGAAUUUUUUAGUUUAUAAUAUUAUAUCUCAUGUUUAUCCUAAUAAACACAUACGCAUAUAAAGUAAUAUGGAAAAUCUUAUAUUAAGUAUCACCAUGAUCUCAACUAAGAACUGUAAAAUUAACCAGAUAUUUUUUAAUUUUAUAUAAAAUAAACUUUUAAAAUUAUUAUUUGAUAAGAUAGUAAAGGUAUUAGCCCCAUUAUAUUAUAAAUUAUAAUAUAACUCAGAUAAUAAGAUAAUAACUUUGAGAGUUUUUUAUUGAAGCAUAUGUUUAUAUUAACAACUAAAAUUUUACUAAAAAAUUAAAAAGGAGUAAAAGUAUAAUUCGUAGUACUUUUAUAAUGUAGUUCAUACCUAUAUUUGAAUAAGUUUUAAAUUUUCUUGAUUAAUUGCAUAUCAAAAAUUACAUCCACAUAUUAGAACAUAUAUAUUGGAUAUACAAUAUAACCAAACAUUUUAAUCUCGUAUAUUCAUAUUACAGAAUCAAAGAACAUAUUUCAAACAAAUAAAAUGUUAUAUAAAUUUUUAUUUUUAUUUUUUGAUGAAAUUUCAAAUUUAUUGAUUUUUUUUGUCAACAAUUUCAAAUUUAUUGAUAAUCAACAAUGAUUAGGCAUUUACAAAGAUUGAAAAAAGUAGCUAGCUUCUGAACAGUAGGAAAUAAAGAAUGAAAAAAAUUCUAAGUUAGCUAAGAGAGAUCUUGUCUAAAAUUAUUAAUAUUUAAAUUAUUAAUAAUGUUAUAUAAAUUAUUAAUAUUUAGAGUGUAACUGUACAUGACUUUUAAUUUAACUAGAGAUCUGAUUUUAUAUAUACAUAAUAUAUUUAAAAUAAUUCAACGGAACUUUAAAACCGAGAGAGUAAUGCACAUCUGCAAGUGCUAAGACUUUUUUUAAAAUAAUAAUAGGCACAGUGAACUUAGGGAGUGAGGAAACUGUGGAACCUGAUCAAUAUGGUGGUGGUCACGGCGGCCAUGGUGGCUACAACAUAGAGGGAGGUAGCGGAGGUCUCUGCGCCCAUGGCUGCUGCUCCAAAAGAAGUGGCACUGUAUGCUAUAGGUGUUGCUCUUACGCCGGAGAAACUGUUCAGACACAGCCCGGCCACUAAAAGUGGAUCAUGUAUUAACCACCACCAUAUGUACACUUAUCUGUGUUUAUAAGUAUAAUUAACGUGGUGGUGUGCGUCUGUAAUUGAUGGAUGUGCCUUAAAUGUGGCGAAGAACAGGAUGAAUUGGGAAGGAAAACAAUAAGAACAAGGUUCAAAUAUGUAAUGAAUUGGGAAGGCAAACUAUAAGAAUAUGGUUCGAUUAUGUAUGUAUUUGGAUUUGAGUUGUAAUGGUGGUGUU
RNAcentral lists this long non-coding RNA (2148 nucleotides) under Brassica rapa (field mustard). RNAcentral's name for it is "long non-coding RNA (BRAP_LNC007695)". Lineage: Eukaryota; Viridiplantae; Streptophyta; Magnoliopsida; Brassicales; Brassicaceae. The record is from RNAcentral.